Long non-coding RNA from Caretta caretta (loggerhead turtle), 725 nucleotides. RefSeq lists it as uncharacterized. The record is from RefSeq and is a predicted model, not a curated record. NCBI's taxonomy places the organism in Eukaryota, Metazoa, Chordata, Testudines, Cheloniidae.
UAGAGGUAGCUCUAGGAAGCAGUUGUAUUCAUUUCUCAUUUGAGCAACAGCCGCACAUAAUGCUAAUAGCAAAGGUAAAUUAUUCAACAAGCUUAAAUUUUAAAAUUACUAUAUUCUUUCAACAACUAGUAACCCAAAGGCUCUGAUGAUUAUAACAACUUUUCCAGCUAAAUGUAUAGACUGUGGGAGCAAGACAACCAAUCAACAGUCUGCCUUGGAGACAUUUAAAGAUUUCAAGAUGUGGAAGGAUCUCAACCUUGAAAAUAACCCUCCAGGGAUUGAUCCAGCAAGGCAAUUCACACAUUCUUCGCAAUAUUAGCAAAUGAAAGCUCUUCACAUAUAGGGACAUUUUUGAAGUUAUGGUUACCAGCCUGCUCCUAAUCAACCCUAUGAUAACAAAUUAGUAUGCACAUCCAAUGGAGGGAAAGUGCCACUACAGGACCUUGGUUGCAACAAUGGUCUAUACAGUCCCAGUAAUGUCACACCCUACUUACCACCUGAGAUGUCUGCAGGAACUAACAAGGAUUGUACCGGGGAAAGGAUUGGGCCCAGACUAGGAAGGAACCUAGUCUGUGAAAGAAGCUUAUUGGAACAUCUUUGAGGCCAGUUCUAUUUCCUGGAGGAUAAGAAUGGACUCCAAGAAUUCCUUCCAGGCUUCUGAUAUGUGUUACAAUGAAGCUCCAACAAGGGGCUGCUUGUUCCUACCACUUUCAGAGCAACAGGAC